UGGUUAGGACCCGAGCUCUCGGAAGUGGCAGACAACCACAAGUACUACCUACUGAGGUCAUCAUAGGACAUUGACGCGGUCGUGGUCAUGGUAGAGGCAGAGCAGCCGGGGCAGCGCAUGUUGAUCCACCAGUUUCCCCAGCUCAUGAUCAGGCUCCAGUUGUUGACACUCCAGCAGCACCUGUUCCGGCACCAGCUGCGCUUACCGUGAUUCCAGAUCUUUAGGAGGCCUAGGCACAGAUCUUAUCAGUUUACAAUGGCCUGGUUCAGGCCUUUCAGCCAUCACAGCAGUAGCAAUAGCUACUUCAUAGUCUAGGGGAGGCAAUCAGACCCCUGCUGCUGGCACACUUGAGCAGGUGGUGUAGGGACUACAAACAC
This 377-nucleotide long non-coding RNA is filed under the name Nicotiana benthamiana. Its description in RNAcentral is "long non-coding RNA (NBEN_LNC002261)". The record is from RNAcentral. Lineage: Eukaryota; Viridiplantae; Streptophyta; Magnoliopsida; Solanales; Solanaceae.